GCCCGGGUGGCGAAAUUGGUAGACGCACUAGCUUCAGGUGCUAGCGCCUUCACGGGUGUGCUGGUUCGAGUCCAGUCCCGGGCACCA
RNAcentral lists this transfer RNA (87 nucleotides) under Parasutterella excrementihominis. Its description in RNAcentral is "tRNA-Leu". It matches the Rfam family "tRNA". Rfam says of the family: Transfer RNA (tRNA) molecules are approximately 80 nucleotides in length. Their secondary structure includes four short double-helical elements and three loops (D, anti-codon, and T loops). The record is from RNAcentral. RNAcentral also lists the same sequence under 1 other name. Lineage: Bacteria; Pseudomonadati; Pseudomonadota; Betaproteobacteria; Burkholderiales; Sutterellaceae.